RNAcentral lists this ribosomal RNA (468 nucleotides) under uncultured bacterium. RNAcentral describes it as "partial 16S ribosomal RNA". It matches the Rfam family "Bacterial small subunit ribosomal RNA", at positions 36 to 507 of the family's 1533-position model. The record is from RNAcentral.
GCCUCCCUCUUUCUUCGUGCUUAACACAUGCAAGUCGAACGGAAAGGCCCUGCUUUUGUGGGGUGCUCGAGUGGCGAACGGGUGAGUAACACGUGAGUAACCUGCCCUUGACUUUGGGAUAACUUCAGGAAACUGGGGCUAAUACCGGAUAGGAGCUCCUGCUGCAUGGUGGGGGUUGGAAAGUUUCGGCGGUUGGGGAUGGACUCGCGGCUUAUCAGCUUGUUGGUGGGGUAGUGGCUUACCAAGGCUUUGACGGGUAGCCGGCCUGAGAGGGUGACCGGCCACAUUGGGACUGAGAUACGGCCCAGACGCCUACGGGAGGCAGCAGUGGGGAAUAUUGCACAAUGGGCGGAAGCCUGAUGCAGCAACGCCGCGUGCGGGAUGACGGCCUUCGGGUUGUAAACCGCUUUCGCCUGUGACGAAGCGUGAGUGACGGUAAUGGGUAAAGAAGCACCGGCUAACUACGUG